Molecule: ribosomal RNA, 300 nt
Filed under: uncultured Salinicoccus sp.
Lineage: Bacteria; Bacillati; Bacillota; Bacilli; Caryophanales; Staphylococcaceae
Description: bacterial SSU rRNA
Rfam family: Bacterial small subunit ribosomal RNA
Source: RNAcentral
GCGACACAGCGGCCGGCGGCCUGGGUAGUACGGUGGGGGAGAACGUUGUCCGUAUGUGUUGGGCGUAAAUGUCGGGCGGGCGGUUCAUUAAGUCAGAUGUGAAAGCCCACGGCUCAACCGUGGAGGGUCAUUGGAAACUGGGGGACUUGAGUGCAGAAGAGGAAAGCGGAAUUCCACGUGUAGCGGUGAAAUGCGUAGAGAUGUGGAGGAACACCAGUGGCGAAGGCGGCUUUCUGGUCUGUAACUGACGCUGAGGCGCGAAAGCGUGGGGAGCAAACAGGAUUAGAUACCCUGGUAGUC